Molecule: unclassified non-coding RNA, 285 nt
Filed under: Hevea brasiliensis (rubber tree)
Lineage: Eukaryota; Viridiplantae; Streptophyta; Magnoliopsida; Malpighiales; Euphorbiaceae
Source: RNAcentral
AAACUUUAGAGCGUAUUUCUCGUGAGUAGUCCCAAAAAAAUGCUUUAUAGAGUGGCACCCCUAGUACCUAUACAACACAGUAAGCAAAACCCACCUGCUGUCUGAACACACCCACCUGGGACCAGCCCCCCUUUUUCUUCUUCUUUCUUCUUUGGAUUCAUCAUAUAAAAAAAACCCAUUUUCUUAAUUUUGAGAAAUCUUGAAAAAAAUCGAUUCUUUUUGGGGAGAAAAUGAUGUGGGAAGGUGGAGGGUUGCCGGUGGAGGGUGGUGGUGGUGUUGGUGAAG